This 3102-nucleotide ribosomal RNA is filed under the name Microbacterium rhizomatis. RNAcentral describes it as "23S ribosomal RNA". It matches the Rfam family "Bacterial large subunit ribosomal RNA". The record is from RNAcentral. Lineage: Bacteria; Bacillati; Actinomycetota; Actinomycetes; Micrococcales; Microbacteriaceae.
UUCAAAUCUUUAAGAGCAAACGGUGGAUGCCUUGGCAUCUGGAGCCGAAGAAGGACGUAGCAAUCUGCGAUAAGCCUCGGGGAGUGGAUAAGCACACUUUGAUCCGAGGAUGUCCGAAUGGGGAAACCCCGCUGGGCGGCUUGCCGACCCAGUGACUCCCGCCUGAAUAUAUAGGGCGGGUAGAGGGAACGUGGGGAAGUGAAACAUCUCAGUACCCACAGGAAGAGAAAGCAACCGCGAUUCCGUUAGUAGUGGCGAGCGAAACCGGAACAGGCUAAACCGAGUACGUGUGAUAUCCGGCAGGAGUUGCGUAUUCGGGGUUGUGGGACUUUUCAGACUGCUCUGCCGAGCAGUCGGCGUUACAAGAAGGUAUAGACGAACGGCAUUGAAAGGCCGGUCACAGAGGGUGCAAACCCCGUAGUCGAAAUGCCUCCCUUGGCGCGAAGAGUAUCCCAAGUAGCACGGGGCCCGAGAAAUCCCGUGUGAAUCUGUCAGGACCACCUGAUAAGCCUAAAUACUCCCAGAUGACCGAUAGCGGACAAGUACCGUGAGGGAAAGGUGAAAAGUACCCCGGGAGGGGAGUGAAAUAGUACCUGAAACCGUUUGCUUACAAACCGUUGGAGCCUCCUUAGUAGGGGUGACAGCGUGCCUUUUGAAGAAUGAGCCUGCGAGUUAGCGAUAUGUGGCGAGGUUAACCCGAGUGGGGUAGCCGUAGCGAAAGCGAGUCUGAAUAGGGCGAUUCAGUCGCAUGUCCUAGACCCGAAGCGAAGUGAUCUAUCCAUGGCCAGGUUGAAGCGACGGUAAGACGUCGUGGAGGACCGAACCCACUUAGGUUGAAAACUGAGGGGAUGAGCUGUGGAUAGGGGUGAAAGGCCAAUCAAACUUCGUGAUAGCUGGUUCUCUCCGAAAUGCAUUUAGGUGCAGCGUUGCGUGUUUCUUGCCGGAGGUAGAGCUACUGGAUGGCCGAUGGGCCCCAAAAGGUUACUGACGUCAGCCAAACUCCGAAUGCCGGUAAGUGAGAGCGCAGCAGUGAGACUGUGGGGGAUAAGCUUCAUAGUCGAGAGGGAAACAACCCAGACCACCAUCUAAGGUCCCUAAGCGCGUGCUAAGUGGGAAAGGAUGUGGAGUUGCUUAGACAACCAGGAGGUUGGCUUAGAAGCAGCCACCCUUGAAAGAGUGCGUAAUAGCUCACUGGUCAAGUGAUUCCGCGCCGACAAUGUAACGGGGCUCAAGCACGCCACCGAAGUUGUGGCAUUGACAUUAUUGGUAGGCCUUCGUGGUCCAGCCGUGUUGAUGGGUAGGAGAGCGUCGUGUGGCGAGUGAAGCGGCGGGGUGACCCAGCCGUGGACGCCACACGAGUGAGAAUGCAGGCAUGAGUAGCGAAAGACGUGCGAGAAACACGUCCUCCGAAAGACCAAGGGUUCCAGGGUCAAGCUAAUCUUCCCUGGGUAAGUCGGGACCUAAGGCGAGGCCGACAGGCGUAGUCGAUGGACAACGGGUUGAUAUUCCCGUACCGGCGAAGAACCGCCCAAACCAAUCCAGUAAUGCUAAGUGUCUGAAUCCCUUUGACGGAUCCCUUCGGGGUGAAGCGUUGGGCCUAGCACACGACCCUAUGCUGAGGCGGUUAGCGUAUUAACAGGUGUGACGCAGGAAGGUAGCCCAAGCCAGGCGAUGGUAGUCCUGGUGCAAGUGCGUAGGCCAAGUGAUAGGCAAAUCCGUCACUUAUACAGGCUGAGACACGAUGCGGAUAAAAAGUGGGUGAUCCUAUGCUGCCAAGAAAAGCAUCGACGCGAGGUUCAAGCCGCCCGUACCCCAAACCGACUCAGGUGGUCAGGUAGAGAAUACCAAGGAGAUCGAGAGAAUCGUGGUUAAGGAACUCGGCAAAAUGCCCCCGUAACUUCGGGAGAAGGGGGGCCUUCGACGUAUAAGGACUUGCUCCGAAAGCGUUUGGAGGCCGCAGAGACUAGUGGGUAGCGACUGUUUACUAAAAACACAGGUCCGUGCCAAGUCGCAAGACGAUGUAUACGGACUGACGCCUGCCCGGUGCUGGAAGGUUAAGAGGACCGGUUAGCCGCAAGGCGAAGCUGAGAAUUUAAGCCCCAGUAAACGGCGGUGGUAACUAUAACCAUCCUAAGGUAGCGAAAUUCCUUGUCGGGUAAGUUCCGACCUGCACGAAUGGCGUAACGACUUCCCAACUGUCUCAACCGCGAACUCGGCGAAAUUGCAUUACGAGUAAAGAUGCUCGUUACGCGCAGCAGGACGGAAAGACCCCGUGACCUUUACUAUAGUUUGGUAUUGGUGUUCGGUGUGGCUUGUGUAGGAUAGGUGGGAGACUUUGAAGCGUGGACGCCAGUUCAUGUGGAGUCAUUGUUGAAAUACCACUCUGGUCACUCUGGAUAUCUAACUUAGAACCGUAAUCCGGUUCAGGGACAGUGCCUGAUGGGUAGUUUAACUGGGGCGGUUGCCUCCCAAAAAGUAACGGAGGCGCCCAAAGGUUCCCUCAACCUGGUUGGCAAUCAGGUGUCGAGUGUAAGUGCACAAGGGAGCUUGACUGUGAGACUGACAGGUCGAGCAGGGACGAAAGUCGGGACUAGUGAUCCGGCAGUGGCUUGUGGAAGCGCUGUCGCUCAACGGAUAAAAGGUACCUCGGGGAUAACAGGCUGAUCUUGCCCAAGAGUCCAUAUCGACGGCAUGGUUUGGCACCUCGAUGUCGGCUCGUCGCAUCCUGGGGCUGGAGUAGGUCCCAAGGGUUGGGCUGUUCGCCCAUUAAAGCGGUACGCGAGCUGGGUUUAGAACGUCGUGAGACAGUUCGGUCCCUAUCCGCUGCGCGCGUAGGAAGUUUGAGAGGAUCUGACCCUAGUACGAGAGGACCGGGUUGGACGAACCUCUGGUGUGUCAGUUGUUCCGCCAGGAGCACCGCUGAUUAGCUACGUUCGGGAUGGAUAACCGCUGAAAGCAUCUAAGCGGGAAGCCGGCCUCAAGAUGAGACUUCCAUGCCUUCGGGCGAGAGGCUCCCAGCCAGACUACUGGGUUGAUAGGCCAGAUGUGGAAGCGUGGUAACACGUGCAGCUGACUGGUACUAAUAAGCCGAUGAUUUGAUAA